UAGAUUUAACCGUAACUAAUAAAGCUAAAAAAACAUAUAAAACUUAAAAGUUAACUCAUAUUUCUCAAAUUCGCGCCUAUGGAUUAAUGUUCUUGGCCUUGCUGCACUGAAUCACACAUUAAAUAUCAAACUUGUUCAUCUAUGAAAUUACUGGCCUAUUAUAUUUGCCUAAUGUUUGGGGAUCUUUAUUGCUAACAAGAUUCAAAAAUUAACUAAUGCAUAGGGGGAAAAUAUAUAUAACUAAUGUUUAACUAAAAUACAAAUGUACUAUAACUAAGUACAUAAAUUUUGCCAUUUUAUUUCAUCUUCAAGACGUACAUCAAAGUGAUUCAAAGUGGUGUACCUGGUAUUGGAAUACAAAGAAGAUGAAGAUCAGUAGGAAGUAAUAGCAGCACACACACAACAAGAGCAGUUCAGCAACACGGGAGUAACCCAGUAACAGCGGGAAUAACAGAAAACCCAGGAGACAUACCAAUAAAAAAGUAUUCCGUUGCCAAAAAAUAAUUUUUGAUUUUUACCACUCAAGAAAAAGAGGCUUGAAGCUUUAAAGAACAAUAGCUGUUGAUGCUAAUUAUUAACAAUGAAGAAGAACAGAUUGUUUCAUUAACUUCUCUUUUCAACACUCAACAAUUCUUAAGAUUCAAGAGUCCUUUUCUUUCUUUCCUCUAGUACUCCAAUAUUUUCUCUCUAAAUUCCCUCUUUUAAGUGUCAAAUGACUGCUAUUAUAUACCCCAAAUGUAAGACUCCUUUCUUCAACCCUUUAAUUAUUAUUCCUCCCCUUUUAUCAUUCUACUAUUUCUAAUUCCGAAUCAGCAAAAGCAGUCAAACGUGGAUCCCACAAUUUACUAUCUUUUUACUUUAAUCAUUAUGCUCCCCACAUGCCUUGUCCCAUCUUUUUACUUUACAUAAUUAUGUUACCCACUAUAUUUAUAAAUAAUUCUUUAUUUUUCAAUUCCAAAAAAUAUCCCCCUCAAACUACUACAAUUACCAUUAUACCCUCAUCCAUUUCAAUCUGCACCAAGAACGUAUCAGCUAUAACGAAUUCAUUCAAACCAAUUAACCACAAUAUAGCAAAUAUAACAAAUUCUUAAUCAAACUCAACAAUUAAUCUCAUGAACAAACUCCUAAUCAACAACAUUUAAGAAUUAUUUCAAACAAAAUCAUAUUCACAUUUAAAGAUAAACUUACAGACUAAUUAGUAGAUUCAAAUUACUAAAAAUUAAAUCAUCAAUUGAACUCCAAAUUAACCAUACCAAGAUGAAGGAUUUUGUGACUAAACUAACACAUUUUUAGAUUAACCCAAACAAGAACAAAUGAACACUGUAAACAUUUUGAACGAAAAAAAACUGACUUCAUAUGCAAGAAAUGAUGAACAACAAAGUAAGAACUCAACAGAAAUUUUUUUGAACAACAUUCUUAACAUACUUUCAGAUUCAACAAAAUAAAUAAAUCGAACAUAACAAGUAGACUCCAAUCACUAAAUUCGGAUUCAAUUAAACUUAUCAUAACACUAAAAUAGAUUCAAAUCACUAAGCUCAAUAAUCAAUUGAGCUUCAAAUCAAAUCUAACAACAUCACAAUCAAGAUCAGGGAUUCAAGUGAUUAAACUAACAUAUUUCUAUAUUAAAACUAAACAAGAACAAAUGAAUAAAACAAACUGAAGAAAUAAUCAAGAAAUGCAAGAUCAGGGAUUCAAGUGAUUAAACUAACAUAUUUCUAUAUUAAAACUAAACAAGAACAAAUGAAUAAAACAUACUGACAACAAUAAUCAAGAAACGAUAAACAACGAACAAGAAAAUAAUCAAAUAUAUACUGAUUUUAGAUCCGAAAAUAUCAAACAAAAUAUGGACAUAAAUGAAACUUAAACCAACUAACCGGAUCGAAACAAUGACGAACUCGAACGAAAACAGAUCUGCCCGGAAAUUUUGAAAUCCAAAAUAACUCGAAUCUUGCCAAUUUAUCAACACUUAUCUCGACGAACAACCCCAAAUGGACAACCUUUCUCAAACAGAAAAUGAUUUCGAAUCACGCUGACGAAUACGAACAGAACAACCAGAACGAAUUUGCUCAGUCCCUUCGUACUUUGUUUUUAUUUAUUUUUUUCUGUUGGUGUGUAUGUGCGUGAGCAGAUGAGGUGCGUCAAUGACUGGUUAACGACGAAAGGGGUCAUUUGGAAGCUGAAAAAGCAGACGCAGUGACGAAGUAGCAGACGUAGUAAGUUGGUUUCAGCUGGUUGUUCUGGUGGAGGUCUGUUUGGACGGAGGAAGGUGACACUGGUGAGGGGUCGCUCGGUGUGAGGGAAAACGGGCUAAAGCUGGUCUUUGGACGUGAAGAAAUGGGUUCGUUUGGACGCGAGACAGGUUGGCUGAUCGGCGGAAGUUCAGGUGUAGAGAUGGUUCGCUCAUGGAGGCGAGGCAGCCAUGGUUGUUGGAUUUGUCGGGGGUGAGGGCCGGUAGUGUCGUCGUUAAGACGAUGGGAAUGGGAGGGGAAGCCAUGGUUGGAGGGGUUAGGAGCUUGGAGGUUUUAGGGUGUUGUUUGGAGAAGAAGAGCAAGGGGGCGGGUGAUUAGGUUAGGGUUUUUUGGGUG
Molecule: long non-coding RNA, 2585 nt
Filed under: Nicotiana benthamiana
Lineage: Eukaryota; Viridiplantae; Streptophyta; Magnoliopsida; Solanales; Solanaceae
Description: long non-coding RNA (NBEN_LNC003879)
Source: RNAcentral